GGGGAAUAUUGCACAAUGGGCGCAAGCCUGAUGCAGCGACGCCGCGUGAGGGAUGAAGGCCUUCGGGUUGUAAACCUCUUUCAGCAGGGAAGAAGCGCAAGUGACGGUACCUGCAGAAGAAGCGCCGGCUAACUACGUGCCAGCAGCCGCGGUAAUACGUAGGGCGCAAGCGUUGUCCGGAAUUAUUGGGCGUAAAGAGCUCGUAGGCGGUUUGUCGCGUCUGCUGUGAAAACUCGAGGCUCAACCUCGGGCUUGCAGUGGGUACGGGCAGACUAGAGUGCGGUAGGGGAGACUGGAAUUCCUGGUGUAGCGGUGGAAUGCGCAGAUAUCAGGAGGAACACCGAUGGCGAAGGCAGGUCUCUGGGCCGCAACUGACGCUGAGGAGCGAAAGCAUGGGGAGCGAAC
RNAcentral lists this ribosomal RNA (405 nucleotides) under uncultured bacterium. RNAcentral describes it as "bacterial SSU rRNA". It matches the Rfam family "Bacterial small subunit ribosomal RNA", at positions 356 to 773 of the family's 1533-position model. The record is from RNAcentral.